This 62-nucleotide transfer RNA is filed under the name Gasterosteus aculeatus (three-spined stickleback). It matches the Rfam family "tRNA", at positions 6 to 65 of the family's 71-position model. From Rfam's summary of the family: Transfer RNA (tRNA) molecules are approximately 80 nucleotides in length. Their secondary structure includes four short double-helical elements and three loops (D, anti-codon, and T loops). Lineage: Eukaryota; Metazoa; Chordata; Actinopteri; Perciformes; Gasterosteidae. The record is from Rfam by way of RNAcentral.
UGUGGCCUAAUGGACAAGGCGUCUGACCUUGAAUCAGAAGGUUGAGGGUUCAAGUCCCUUCA